RNAcentral lists this ribosomal RNA (253 nucleotides) under uncultured bacterium. RNAcentral's name for it is "partial 16S ribosomal RNA". It matches the Rfam family "Bacterial small subunit ribosomal RNA", at positions 524 to 776 of the family's 1533-position model. The record is from RNAcentral.
UACGUAGGGUGCGAGCGUUAAUCGGAAUUACUGGGCGUAAAGCGUGCGCAGGCGGUUGUGCAAGACAGAUGUGAAAUCCCCGGGCUUAACCUGGGAAUUGCAUUUGUGACUGCACGGCUAGAGUGUGUCAGAGGGGGGUAGAAUUCCACGUGUAGCAGUGAAAUGCGUAGAUAUGUGGAGGAAUACCGAUGGCGAAGGCAGCCCCCUGGGAUAACACUGACGCCCAUGCACGAAAGCGUGGGGAGCAAACAGG